Molecule: long non-coding RNA, 512 nt
Organism: Felis catus (domestic cat)
Lineage: Eukaryota; Metazoa; Chordata; Mammalia; Carnivora; Felidae
Exons: 2
Source: RefSeq, a predicted model, not a curated record
CAAGCGCUGCAAAAGAGGGAGCAGGGAAGAAAUUCUAUCUCCUCUGACCUCGCCUCACAAGUCAUAAGUCAUUAUUUCUACCACAUUCUAUCCACGGAAGCAGUCAUCAGUCCCACUCAGGUUCAGAGGGAGACUAACUAGAAUCUGCUUUUUGAUGAAGAGAGGCCAGGUUCUGGAAGAGGAGUAAAAGAAACUGGGAAGCAGUGCUUCUGGAGAUGGUGUAGUGGUUUUACAGGCACCUGGAAGGAGGCGUCACCAUCCUUCCUAGCGCUGGCUUCCAUUUUCAAGGUCACCGUUGGAGAUCCAGCUAUUUAUAUGCCCGAGUUCUCCAGGGAGGAAGAUGGAGGAAGGGGCUGUCUCCAUGGAUGUGCAUAUUCUGGGCAUUUAGAAUCAUACAAUAUGUGGUCCUUUGUAUCUGGCUGCUUUUACUUAGGACGAUGUUUCCAAAGGUCAUUCGUGUAGCACGUAUCAGUACUUCAUUCCUUUCUGUUACUAAAUAACAUUCCAUUGUA